GUUAGGGCAGACUAUAUAUAGGGAGUACAUAGAGGCGGGAUUAGAAGCCAUAAAGGAUACAUCGUGAUACAUAGGUACUACAUAGGGAGACAUGGGUAAUUUCAGCAUGUUGGUGGUGUGUGUUGCUGUGAUCUUCAGUCUGGUCUCAGUGAGUCAGGCGACUCCUGUUUCUCAAACCUGUGAGACUCUUCUGAAACCUCUAGAGAUGAAAACCAUAGACCCGGAGCCAGGACUUUGGUCAAAGUCCUCAUGGAUAACAUCUGGUCAGAGUUGUCACCAGGGCCACUCCCGAACAUGUUUAAAGUAACCUUUUAUGUAAAAAUGUUGGAUGGGACAUGUUCCAGUAGCAAUAUCAGUGUUGCCCUUGAAGACAACAAGCUCAACUGGACGUACAAUUUCCCUUCUUCCGCGGUCUUCCUGCCAACUUGUCCAGACUGUCUUUUGAACCAGAUUACAACCACCAUCAAUGGAAACAACUUCAUGUCUCUGGAACUCUACAGUAAGAGAAGAGAACUCUCCGCUGCUGAACUGUUUCAGUUCAAGACACAGGUUGCCUGUCUCAACUUGCCACAGGCAGUUUUCCUCAACUCUAAGACAGAACACUGUCCAGACACCACUGCAAGGAUUCCCAUCAUGGAAGAGAAGUACAUGGAGUUCAUUCAAUCUAUGGAGACCGAACCUCUCAAGGGAUUUUUUUCAGUAACAGAUUAUCUCAUUGAGAAGGCAGAAUGCCUGGGAUGGAUUUAAAGCAGGCUCAGUUAUCCUGGUGGACUGGAGCUUUCCAAUUGAUUCAGCUAAUAAAUGUCUUGGUGAGCAUCUAAUCUCACCAAGGGAUUUACUCAAGCAGAAUCACAUGGGUUUAACUGUACUCUGAAUGAAAGGGGAGUUGGUGAAACCAUUUAGACUUUUUGUCUUCAUAAAGAACCGCUUCACUAACCUUACAAAAUGAUGUUUUCUAAUGGAACUUAACAACACCUGAUGAAGGUCUGAGAUGAACUGUAAUAUCUACAGUGGCUGUGAUACUGUAAAAAAAUCUGUAGGUUUUCAACAGGUUGUAUGAACAGUUUUAUGCAUGAAAAUGAUACUAUACAUGAUGUGACUAGAGCUUCAUUCUGUGUCCUUAAAGGCCUUUCCGAUAACUACAUUUAUAUUGUUGUUGGUAUUUAUUUCUCCUGUCUUUUCGUCCUGUUUGCCCUUCAUUGAGUUUCAAUCCCUCCCAAUCGGUCCCACCCUCCCAACUGGAGAAAGGUUAUCUCUAAUCAUCCACUGCUCAUUGGUACCAUGUCAGUGAUCAGUGGAUUAACCCAAUCAGUUACAACCUCCACUGUCAGACAAUCUUUCACAGUAUUUGAUCAUGUCAUUGUCUCCUUCUGGAAUGCAUCCCUCCAUUCUGCCAUGGGUCUUCCUGGGUGUUUUUCCCUGUGUGUAUCAUAUGUGCAGAUACUGACCCAAAGAUUGUCUCUCCUAUUGCCUGACUCUGGUCCUCCAGGUCUUCCAGAACUACAGUCGUAGAUACAAUUACACCUUGAUGAUACGAUUUGACAACCGUUGCUUUACUUUGAGAAAUUAGCCAACGAUGGAUUUAGGCAGUACAUACAGAAUCUCACAAAAGUGAGUACACCCCUCACAUUUUUGUAAAUAUUUUAGUAUAUCUUUUCAUGUGACAACACUGAAGAAAUGAUGCUUUGCUACAAUGUAAAGUAGUGAGUGUACAGCUUGUAUAAAAGUGUAAAUUAGCUGUCCCCUCAAAAUAACUACACAAACAGCCAUUGAGUACACCCCUAAGUGAAAAUGUCUAAAUUGGGCCCAAUAAGCCAUUUUCCCUCCUCGGUGUCAUGUGACUCGUUAGGUGUGAAUGGGGAGCAGGUGUGUUAAAUGUGGUGUCAUCGCUCUCACACUUUCUUCAGUGUUGUCACAUGAAAAGAUAUAAUCAAAUAUUUACAAAAAUGUGAGAUACUGUACCUUUUUUGAUGAUAUGGUGAUAGAUUUAUGAUGUUACGAACGUGCCCCAAAAACAAAACUGAUGGUGAGAUACUGUAUAAUGUAAUGACAAUAAUUAAGAUGCAACGAAUAUUGCAAAAUACUCUAUAUCUAUAUAUAUUUUGUUGCAUUCUCAAAUCAUAAGUGUAUGCACCAAAACAAUAUUAUAAUGCGAAAAGUGCUAUAAAAAACAUUCAACAGAAGAA
This is a long non-coding RNA of Esox lucius (northern pike), 2186 nucleotides long. Lineage: Eukaryota; Metazoa; Chordata; Actinopteri; Esociformes; Esocidae. The record is from Ensembl.